AAUCUGCUGGAAUUACAGCCUUGAUCACUUUUUCAAUCACAUCCUGACGAAUUUGGUCAUUAGUAGCUUCUGGAUCAUGCUGAGUAGAAAUAACGACUGUAUCCACACGAACAGGUUUAUCGUGUUCAUCGUACUCAACUGUCACUUGAGAUUUAGCAUCUGGACGUAGAUAACUAAUCUCACCUGACUUACGUAAUUCCGCCAAGCGACGCACUAAUUGGUGAGAUAAGGAAAUUGGUAAAGGCAUCAAUUCUGGUGUUUCAUUGAUGGCAAAACCAAACAUGAGCCCUUGGUCACCCGCUCCAAUAUGGCUAAGGUCAU
Molecule: non-coding RNA, 321 nt
Filed under: Streptococcus pyogenes
Lineage: Bacteria; Bacillati; Bacillota; Bacilli; Lactobacillales; Streptococcaceae
Source: RNAcentral